Siniperca chuatsi (mandarin fish) is the source of this 2093-nucleotide long non-coding RNA. RefSeq lists it as uncharacterized. The record is from RefSeq and is a predicted model, not a curated record. NCBI's taxonomy places the organism in Eukaryota, Metazoa, Chordata, Actinopteri, Centrarchiformes, Sinipercidae. The transcript has 2 exons.
CACAUGAUAACUAUCAACAGCAGCUACAUACAGCUACAAAAACAAGUAUAACAUCUAAAACCUACCUGAUCCAGGCUUCCACCUAAUAUUCCUCCAAGCUGACUUCCUCCAGCUGGUCAGCAACAAGAACGACGAGGCUUUGCUCCAUGUUUUUAGUUGGUGGUUUUGUUGCCUGCCGCUGCUCAUAUGCUUCACAGAGGAGAACAAGGCUCAUUGAAAAACCCUCAGUGUGAAUGAAAGGAAUGCUGGUUGGACACGAAGGCCCUCUGCAUGAAGCAUUUCCUUUGGAAGUCUUUAAUGUGGAUGCGGUAGAAGAGGAGAAGAUCAUUCCACAUGACGUCAAAGAUGUGCCCAUAGGCUUUGCCAUGUUAAGGGGAGAAAUCUACUGUCUUAACCUUGAGUACCACCGUAAUAUGAAGUACUCCUUGAGUUCUUUCAGAGAGUCAUCAUGAACAUUAAACCAGACCAAUGCUCAGCAAGAAUCCAUGGGCUCAGAAAUAAACUGCUUAGAUAAUCACCUGUAAACAAAUGACUGCACAUCAUCUCAAGCCCCUACUAGGAGGAAGCUGUUAUUUGGGAAUGGCUUUGUCCUUCACACAUUGUUCAUGUUUGCAGCAGUAUAGUUUGUACAGGGCAGGUCAGGUAUGGACAAAGCAAGUCAAGUAUGGAUGAAAAAUGAGCCUUACAUACUGCUCCGAACUGAAGGUUUGGUAUAGUUCAAAUGUGCAAACCUUUUGAGGCACUAACUUUCACAUAUAAUGAAAAACAAACAAUUUCUCUUUACAAUUGUGUUAAAAGACUCUUUUAGACAUGGAAGUUUAUUGUAUGGUUUGACAAAGCUCUUGCUAUCCCACAUUUUGCCUCUGCACAACCCUACUCUACCAUAUCUCUUUCUCCCUCUUAUUCUCUCAUUCCCAGUUUUGAAAGUAUGAGUUCGAUUAACACACGUAUUUUGGGUGUUUACAAUGUACAACAUUGUUCAUAUAGAGAUUUUAUGAGCCUGUCAUUAUCUAUUUACCUCAUUGUACAACCCCACCUUCUGUGUCUGUCUACAACCCCCAAAUUUGGAAUUUAAAGCCUCAGCUUAAUGGCAAAUUGUAUAAAACAGUUACAAUAAUGCAGAAAUGUGUUUGUUUAACUAGGAAAGUUUCUUGCAUUGACAAUGUAAAAUAAUGGUUUUAAACUCAGUAGUAAGUUGAAACAAGUGAUUAAAAAAGGUAAUCAACCUUGACAACUUAAUGUUGAGACAACUAGACCAGUGUAGUUAACUUGCAUUUUUAAAAAAAGGUAGCAGGUGAACUUUUCCAAGUUCAACCAACCUGAAAUGUCUUACAGUGCAGUGAUGUGUGUUGGGCUCUAAGCAGUGUGGAAAUCUCACCAAGUUGUGGGCUGCCCGAUUUAGCAAGGUAUCUAGAGGCAAAUGCUAAUGCCAAACUACCAGUUUGAACUGGCUUCAACAGAGUAAGCUAACAGCUGCUAACUCCCCGCAGGCUGGGGAGCUGUGUGUCAGACAGCAGAGAGCACUGCUGCAGUUACUGUGCUAACUUUGGACAUUUUAGCAGUGCUUCCCAACAACAUUAAAACAAAAGCCAUGAAUUUUCUAAGCAAUACAUUCCCCUUCUUUGGGUUUAAAUCCAAUUUACUGCUGCAAGACUGGCAUGUCAGCAGAAGCAUAUCUGUCUAUCCAGGGUUCUAUGCACGCAGGGUCCUAUGUUCCCCAGCUCAGUAUCCUCUUAGUGACACAUUAGGGAGACCUCUCCAAGGGUUUUACGUCCUCAGCAGUGUUUUUCACCCCUAGCGCAAAUGUUUAAUGUAUGUUUCCCUCUGUAUAUAUGUUGACGUCACCCACCUACAGCUUAUAGCCUACUCAUGUUAUACUCCUUGAAACCUAUGCCCUCAAAUUUUCAGGCAAGACAGUUUGAAUGUGGAGAUAUCAAUGUCUAAAGUCAAACUGCAUUUGAAAUGUCCGUCUCCCUUCGUUCUUUUGAACAUAGGGAUGAGCCUGAUGUCAGCUAGCCUGUCUGGCCAUGUGUUAAGCAACAAAAGGGAGAUGAGCACUGCAAAUUCAAAUAAAAGGCAUUAUUUUGUCGCAA